AGCCAGGCGAUGGUUCCAGACACAUUCCUGACAGUGUGUGAGCACCUGGAAGUAGCCUUACUCUGGGACUAAGGUGCUAAUGCUUAUAAAUAUCCUUUUUUUGGCCCAAGCCAGUUUGGACUGGGUUUGUCACUUGCAACAGAAUUUGAACGAGAGGUGUCCGGGCACGGUGGCUUGGACUCUGGCAGAGGCGCUUUUCCCACCUGGUGGCUCCCAGGGCCGAUUGCUGGUCAAGGAGCCAGAUAUACUCUUAAGACAUGAUGUGGGUUUUAUGGGGCUCCCUGGCUCUGGGAGUGGCAGUGAGGCACGCUGAGGAAGGGCUGCCAUCUUGGUUUUGUGGCAACCUGCCGUAUGACCGUGGGCAAGUGCCUUCUCCUGUUUGGGCAUCUGUCUUCUGCUCUGUAACAUCAAGGGGCUGGGCUGGAUGAUCUCUCAGCGUCUUCCAACCUCUAUGGUCUAAGACGGCCUUCCCCACUCCAGCACUGCCUCAAACUGGGAUGAUGAGGACAGUAAAAGGGCGUUCUUUUUUUUUUUUUUUAAGACGGAGUCUCG
This 552-nucleotide long non-coding RNA is filed under the name Homo sapiens (human). RNAcentral describes it as "non-protein coding lnc-TUSC5-5:1". The record is from RNAcentral. Lineage: Eukaryota; Metazoa; Chordata; Mammalia; Primates; Hominidae.